Mus musculus (house mouse) is the source of this 1889-nucleotide RNA transcript. It is a transcript of the gene named cation channel, sperm associated 4, with no coding region annotated. The transcript has 11 exons. Lineage: Eukaryota; Metazoa; Chordata; Mammalia; Rodentia; Muridae. The record is from RefSeq and is marked validated.
AGCUGCCUCUGUGAUCUCACCACAAGGGGGAGAGAGAAGGACUGCUCGUAGCAAAGAAGCGGCCUGGCCUCUGAAGAGAAGGGGACACAGCAAAGAUGUCUGAAAAACACAAGUGGUGGCAGCAGGUGGAGAACAUCGACAUCACACACCUGGGCCCUAAGAGAAAAGCCUAUGAACUCCUGGGUCGGCAUGAGGAGCAAGUGCUCAUCAACCGCAGAGAUGUCAUGGAGAAGAAGGAUGCCUGGGAUGUACAGGAAUUCAUCACUCAAAUGUAUAUCAAGCAGUUGCUCCGCCAUCCGGCCUUCCAGCUGCUGCUGGCCUUUCUGCUGCUGUCCAACGCUAUCACCAUUGCCCUUCGCACCAACUCUUAUCUCGGUCAGAAACAUUACGAGCUAUUCUCGACCAUAGAUGACAUUGUGUUGACGAUCCUUAUCUGCGAGGUUCUGCUUGGUUGGCUUAACGGCUUCUGGAUUUUCUGGAAGGAUGGCUGGAAUAUCCUCAACUUCGCAAUUGUCUUUAUCUUGUUUAUGGGGUUCUUCAUAAAACAACUUGACAUGGUUGCCAUCACCUACCCUCUCAGGGUGCUCCGGCUGGUGCAUGUGUGUAUGGCGGUGGAACCCCUGGCCAGAAUCAUCAAGGUUAUCCUGCAGUCGAUGCCAGACUUGGCUAAUGUCAUGGCUCUCAUCCUCUUCUUCAUGCUGGUAUUCUCUGUGUUUGGGGUCACGCUCUUCGGUGCAUUUGUGCCCAAGCAUUUCCAGAACAUGGGGGUUGCCCUGUACACGCUCUUCAUCUGCAUCACUCAGGAUGGAUGGCUGGACAUCUACACUGACUUCCACUUGUCCCUGAGGUACAAAAGAGUGCUGACGUCUGGCUUGAGAGCUGGCCCUAACUCUCUGAGGCACAAAGGGCCAGGAAAAUGAUGGAGCCCCUGACCACCAUUCCCAGGAUGGAUGAAAGAGAGUACGCGAUGGAGGUCGGGGGCGCCAUCUACUUUGCCGUCUUUAUCACCCUCGGUGCCUUCAUUGGUCUCAACUUGUUCGUCGUCGUGGUGACCACAAACCUGGAACAAAUGAUGAAGACCGGCGAGGAAGAGGGACACCUGAACAUAAAGUUUACUGAGACAGAAGAGGAUGAGGACUGGACCGACGAGCUGCCACUGGUGCAUUGUACAGAGGCCCGCAAGGAUACUUCCACUGUCCCCAAGGAACCACUGGUUGGGGGCCCCCUGAGUAACCUCACAGAAAAGACCUGCGAUAACUUCUGCUUGGUGCUUGAAGCAAUACAGGAGAACUUGAUGGAGUACAAAGAGAUCCGAGAGGAACUCAACAUGAUCGUGGAGGAAGUGUCCUCCAUCCGGUUCAACCAGGAGCAGCAAAAUGUGAUCCUACACAAGUAUACCUCCAAAAGCGCCACCUUCCUAAGCGAGCCCCCAGAAGGGGCUAACAAGCAAGACUUGAUCACUGCGCUGGUCAGCAGGGAAAAGGUGUCUGAUUCUAACAUAAACAUGGUUAACAAACACAAGUUCAGCCACUGAGAAGGCAGUAUGGGAACUGGAGGGCCUGCACACACUGGGCCAGCUGCUGCAUCCCAGACUGGAGCCCAUCCCUCUCCCUUACACCCGGGCGGCAGAGGCCAUGGGGCUGGAAAGGUGGCAGCAUCUGCAGGGCUUAUGCCCAGGAGCCUCAAGUCCGGAGGAGUCGGGAUUCUGGCUGUGAGUGGGCGUACAGAAAGUUGUAGCCAGGCUUUGGCCUAAAGAUGAACAUCCCUGACCUCUGUCUGCAUCAGCCAGAGCUGGAUGAGGCCUGCCUGGGCCCAAGCACCAGAAAGAGAAGAGCCAGGCCAGUGAGACCGUGUGCACCAAAAAUAAACUUUUGUGUUAUAACCAAUGA